Molecule: transfer RNA, 97 nt
Filed under: Ixodes scapularis (black-legged tick)
Lineage: Eukaryota; Metazoa; Arthropoda; Arachnida; Ixodida; Ixodidae
Rfam family: tRNA
About the family: Transfer RNA (tRNA) molecules are approximately 80 nucleotides in length. Their secondary structure includes four short double-helical elements and three loops (D, anti-codon, and T loops).
Source: Rfam by way of RNAcentral
GCAGUCGUGGCCGAGUGGUUAAGGCGAUGGACUAGACAUCCAUUGGGUGUCUAGUCCAUCGCCUUAACCUUGCACAGGUUCGAAUCCUGCGACUUUU